This is a long non-coding RNA of Cavia porcellus (domestic guinea pig), 3728 nucleotides long. RefSeq lists it as uncharacterized. NCBI's taxonomy places the organism in Eukaryota, Metazoa, Chordata, Mammalia, Rodentia, Caviidae. The transcript has 2 exons. The record is from RefSeq and is a predicted model, not a curated record.
CACGCAGUGGAUUCACUGUCACCACUCCCCCUUGCGGGCGUGCAAGUUGUCAAAAGUGAAUGAGGUCAAGCCAAAGUCCAGCUCCUCCAUGGAUUCAGCUUUCUACAAGAAACAUUUUAACGAAGUUUAACUUUCUCUUGGAUGAUUUUUCAGCCACUGUGGCUGGAUCCUGCAAUAUGUUUCUAUUAUGCCUGACUUCACUCAAUACAGUGAAAAUAAUCAAUACUGAUAGAUGUAAUUGUUCACUGUCAUUGGUAAGUAGUAUUUUAUUUGUGACCAUAAAUAAUUUUUCCAUUGUAUUGCUGAUGGGUGUUUAUGAGAUUCUGGGUAUGGAUGAUGAGAAAGACUACUAUGAAUAUUCAAGAAUAUGUAUUUUGAUGGACUUAAAAUAUAUAAAUGAUUAUAUAUUUGUGUAUUCUAGCUACCCUUUAUCUGUCCCAUUUUUUUUUUUUUUUGCAUACUAAACAUUUGUGCAAACACCAUGAGUAUUUUCCAAAUAUUUCAGGACGGGAGCCUGAGACUUUAAGGGUAUUAAGUCUUUGAUGAUCACACUUCUAAUAAGUAAUGGGAAUCCACUAACUUCAGAUAUAGAAUUCCAGUAGAGAGCAGCAGGUGGUCAUAUACAUUUGUAUACAUUUAUAUUUAUAUAUAAUUCAUGUAAGUCAUAUGCAUUUAUAUUUAUAUAUAAUUCAACAGUAACUAAUGUCUCCUUGGACUGCAGAAUUUACUAUAUUUGUGUUUAUUCAUGAAGAGGGACUUGCUGUGAACAUUUCAUAUAUAUUUUUCAUGCUUUAUUUCCAUCAUUGCUAUUAGUUUUGUUCAAUUUAUUUUUUGUAGUGAAAUAUUUUAAUGCUGUUCUCAUUAUCUUGUGUGUAUAUUCUGUAACUGUAAGAGUCUUUAUAGGGACCAUGGAGAUUACUGUUAACAUCUUAAAGAUUUAAAAUUCUAAUUUGAAUCUGUACAAAAUUGCUACUCCUUUAUAGUUCUUUUUCCAUCUCUUUUGGUUUUUGGUGUCAUAGAACUACAUAUUUGCAAAAGAUCUAACAUAACAUAAAUCUUUUAAAUGCAUAAAGCAAAACAUAAGUGUUGUAAAUGCAUUAGUUGCUAAAGUCACAUAAAAGACAAAAUGUGCAUUUUCCCAUCAGUUUACCUCUGUCCAUAUCUUUAUUUCUUCAGAUGACUUAGAGUUACUGUGUAGUAUGCCUGUAUUUCACUGCACAGGUCUCUUGGAGCAUUUUCUACAGGGCACAUCUAGGGGUAGUGAACUCCCUCCACUUUUGUUUAUUUAGAAAUAGCUUUAAUUUCUCACUCACUUUCAAAGGCUAGUUUGCCAUAGGUAAGAUGUUCGGUUAACACUUAUUUUUCUUCCACUGCUUUGACUGUAUCUACCCACUACCUCCAGACCCCCUGAGUUUCUGAUAAGAAAUUUACUCAGAAUAUUCUCAAUGACCUCUUUUUUUUUUUUUUUUUACUUUUUUUUUUUUAUCUUAUUAUCGGUACUGGGGAUCAAACUCAUGACCGCCUGCUUGCAAGACAGGUGCUUAUACCACGGAGCUAAAUCCCCAGUCCCUUCUCAAUGACCUCUUGUGUGUAAUUGAAACUUUGAAAAUUCUUCUAUCUUUUGACAGUUGACUUAUGAUGUGUCUCAGAAUGAUUCUCUUUGAGUUCUUGUUACAGUGGACCCUUGACUCAUGAAUUAAAUUCAUUUGCAAGGGCUGUUUGUAAAUCAAGUUUAUUGUAAGUCAAGACUAUUUUUCCGGUAAGAACUAAUGGAAAUACCUGUAAUGCAUUCCAAACCUCCCAAAGCACCCCUUAAUUAAGGAUUAAUUAAGAAGAAAGGAUUCUGUAAUUUACCAGAAACACCAAUGAUUUUCCUAAUGUAUUCACCAAAAUAUUAUAAAAUGUAAGUAAUUUACUAGAAAUAAUAGUAUCAUACUGUAUUCACCAUCCAAAUAGACAUCUUUGGGUUGCAGAAGGAAGGAUGAAAUGGAAAGGGGUUAUUGUUUGAAAGGAGAGUCCCCUUCCUUAAGAACAUUAGGAAUCUGGCUCUCUGCUGUCCUUUUACUCCUUGGGAGAGUCUGUAGCCCCCUCAGACGUGCUUCUGGCUCACUAGGUCUCCAUCUUUUUAGAACUAAAAAUUGGUCUAAGAUGAUCUGUUUCUGUCUUUUCUGUAACACUGUUCUGUAGUUUGAUAUGACAUGUCAUUAAGCAAAUGAAUGCAAUGAUUCGCUUUUUCUCUGAGUGGGUGGGUCUCCUCUACAAAUGCUUACAGCUCUGUUCAUUCUUUUCAAGAUUCCCUUUAUUUCGGCAGAACUUUGCUGCACUGAUUGUUGAUAUUCCCCUCCUCUUCAGAAAUCUCCUCAACUGCCAUUCUCUAUUGCUCAGCCAAAAGUUACUAAAGUUCUUCUGUGGACAGUUCCUCUGAGUGUUCCUCCAUCAGUUCCCAACAUUACCACUGUCUCCCUGCAAGCCUAUGGACUCUGCUCUAAUGACAGUGUCAUCAGCCACAGGGUCAGUCGAAGGCUCAGGUUCCUCUACACAGCCUUUGAAGUUUCUUUCUUGUAUAAUUUUAGGCCACACUUUCUUCUGGACAAUUCUCAGUGUCUUUAGAGAGACAUUGGCCCAGGAUUUCUUAGUUAACCCUACCCAGGAAAUGAUGUUGUACUUCCAGAACUGAUUAAGGAUUAAAUCUGUAUCUGAGAUGACUUGGAAGUACUUAAGUAACAGUUCCUUGAUUUAUAGCUUCUUAAAGUUAGCUUCAAUCUGCUGGUCUUUCAGGAAAUUAUUAUUCUCCAAUAAAAUAGCAGGCACUUUUUUUUUUUUAUUGGGAGUGGAACUCAUGACCUUGUGCUUGCCAGGCAAAGAAGCAGGCACUUUUAAUGUUGCUUUCCCUCAGAUCCAAAGCCUUCUUUGUUGUGUGUUGUGUGAUAGUAAAACAAAUGCUUUGAAUGUUUUUUCCAGAGUCUUCACACCCAAAGUGAUAAGGUGUGCAUUUUAUGUAGAUCUUAAGACUUUCAUUUAACUGUUAUGUUUAAAAACUAAGUAGUUAUUAAAAAGAAAAUAAUAUAUAAAUGUGUGCCAAUUAUGGCAGAUAUUUCCAGCCAAAGUCAGCAUCAGAGACGCCACAAAUCAAAACAAAUUAAAGUUUUCUGGGAUGGUCCCCUCAUCAUCUAGGCAUUUCAGUCUGGAGUUUUUUCCACAUAUCCAGCUGGGCAUGAGCUCUACCUCCCCACCAAAGGCAGGAAAAUACACCAAAGGUUACAGGGUUACCUUGGCAAAAGGGAAAGAAUAAGGGGGCAAAAUAUUGUGCCCUGUCUUUGGGUAACCAAUGAUUUAUGGCAUUUUCUUCGUAUGGUCAUCCUAACCCUCAAGGAACAGGAAGAUGGUAUCAGUACUUUCCACAGGAAUGAAGCUCUUCUGAUCCUUCAUAAGUGCUGUUCGGUGCUUCUACAAUAUCUUUGAUGCCAUCUUUGCUAUCUUGACUCUAUCUUCCUGGAGCUGCUGAAGAGUUUGAUGUUCCAUACCAAGGAUUGGAACAAAAACAAGUUCAAAACCCAGCAGGGUAGAUAUUAAAUCUUUUGUUGCAUAUCCAGCUUUUGAAACAAUCUGUGGCAUACUGUGAGCUCCAAAGGGCUUGUGUUAUUCCAUUCCCAUGGUGUCUGUCUUGGGCUUGCUUCUGCUCAGUUCUUGCAGCUUAUCUUAGGCGAGCCACACUCCUCUUUUCCAAA